CUAUCUGCAGUCGAGCGGACAGAAGGGAGCUUGCUCCCGGAUGUUAGCGGCGGACGGGUGAGUAACACGUGGGUAACCUGCCUGUAAGACUGGGAUAACUCCGGGAAACCGGAGCUAAUACCGGAUAGUUCCUUGAACCGCAUGGUUCAAGGAUGAAAGACGGUUUCGGCUGUCACUUACAGAUGGACCCGCGGCGCAUUAGCUAGUUGGUGGGGUAAUGGCUCACCAAGGCGACGAUGCGUAGCCGACCUGAGAGGGUGAUCGGCCACACUGGGACUGAGACACGGCCCAGACUCCUACGGGAGGCAGCAGUAGGGAAUCUUCCGCAAUGGACGAAAGUCUGACGGAGCAACGCCGCGUGAGUGAUGAAGGUUUUCGGAUCGUAAAGCUCUGUUGUUAGGGAAGAACAAGUGCGAGAGUAACUGCUCGCACCUUGACGGUACCUAACCAGAAAGCCACGGCUAACUACGUGCCAGCAGCCGCGGUAAUACGUAGGUGGCAAGCGUUGUCCGGAAUUAUUGGGCGUAAAGGGCUCGCAGGCGGUUUCUUAAGUCUGAUGUGAAAGCCCCCGGCUCAACCGGGGAGGGUCAUUGGAAACUGGGAAACUUGAGUGCAGAAGAGGAGAGUGGAAUUCCACGUGUAGCGGUGAAAUGCGUAGAGAUGUGGAGGAACACCAGUGGCGAAGGCGACUCUCUGGUCUGUAACUGACGCUGAGGAGCGAAAGCGUGGGGAGCGAACAGGAUUAGAUACCCUGGUAGUCCACGCCGUAAACGAUGAGUGCUAAGUGUUAGGGGGUUUCCGCCCCUUAGUGCUGCAGCUAACGCAUUAAGCACUCCGCCUGGGGAGUACGGUCGCAAGACUGAAACUCAAAGGAAUUGACGGGGGCCCGCACAAGCGGUGGAGCAUGUGGUUUAAUUCGAAGCAACGCGAAGAACCUUACCAGGUCUUGACAUCCUCUGACAACCCUAGAGAUAGGGCUUUCCCUUCGGGGACAGAGUGACAGGUGGUGCAUGGUUGUCGUCAGCUCGUGUCGUGAGAUGUUGGGUUAAGUCCCGCAACGAGCGCAACCCUUGAUCUUAGUUGCCAGCAUUUAGUUGGGCACUCUAAGGUGACUGCCGGUGACAAACCGGAGGAAGGUGGGGAUGACGUCAAAUCAUCAUGCCCCUUAUGACCUGGGCUACACACGUGCUACAAUGGACAGAACAAAGGGCUGCGAGACCGCAAGGUUUAGCCAAUCCCAUAAAUCUGUUCUCAGUUCGGAUCGCAGUCUGCAACUCGACUGCGGAAGCGGAAUCGCUAGUAUCGCGA
Molecule: ribosomal RNA, 1308 nt
Filed under: Bacillus sp. DS4.hex.3
Lineage: Bacteria; Bacillati; Bacillota; Bacilli; Caryophanales; Bacillaceae
Description: bacterial SSU rRNA
Rfam family: Bacterial small subunit ribosomal RNA
Source: RNAcentral